GCGGCAACGGCUGAGUAACACGUAAGCAACCUGUCCCAAAGUGGGGAAUAAUUCACCGAAAGGUGGACUAAUACCGCAUGUGGUGGCGGAAUCAGUUUUCUGUCACUAAAGCCUUCGGGCGCUUAGGGAGGGGCUUGCGUCCUAUCAGGUAGUUGGUGAGGUAACGGCCCACCAAGCCUUUGACGGGUAGCUGGUCUGAGAGGAUGUCCAGCCAGACGGGGACUGAGACACGGCCCCGACUCCUACGGGAGGCAGCAGCAAGGGAUUUUGCGCAAUGGGCGAAAGCCUGACGCAGCAACACCGCGUGAGGGAAGAAGGCCUUCGGGUUGUAAACCUCUUUUCUCAGGGAAGAAUAAUGACGGUACCUGAGGAAUAAGUCACGGCUAACUACGUGCCAGCAGCUGCGGUAAUACGUAGAUGGCAAGCGUUAUCCGGAUUCACUGGGCGUAAAGAGCGCGUAGGUGGUCCUUCAAGUCAGAUGUGAAAUCUCCCGGCUUAACUGGGAGCGGUCAUCUGAUACUGCUGGACUUGAGGGCGGUAGAGGGAGGUGGAAUUCCCGGUGUAGUGGUGAAAUGCGUAGAUAUCGGGAGGAACACCAGUGGCGAAAGCGGCCUCCUAGGCCGCCCCUGACACUGAGGCGCGAAAGCGUGGGGAGCGAACAGGAUCAGAUACCCUGGUAGUCCACGCCUUAAACUGUGGAAACUAGGUACAAGGAGUAUCGACCCUUCCUGCGCCGUAGCUAACGCGUUAAGUUUCCCGCCUGGGGACUACGGUCGCAAGACUAAAACUCAAAGGAAUUGACGGGGGCCCGCACAAGCAGCGGAGCGUGUGGUUUAAUUCGAUGCAACACGAAGAACCUUACCAAGGCUUGACAUGCUGGAAGUAGCGAACCGAAAGGGG
Molecule: ribosomal RNA, 900 nt
Filed under: uncultured bacterium
Lineage: Bacteria
Description: bacterial SSU rRNA
Rfam family: Bacterial small subunit ribosomal RNA
Source: RNAcentral